AAGCCUGCAAAGUAGAUUGGAUAUAAUCUGUGAUGAGACGGAUGUUGAUUCACACGAUGUUGGAAGGCAAGUAGGUGAUGACGAUGUAUCAGUUGAAAAUCCCGUUUCCCAACUUGUGCUGCAUUUAUUGAGGUAAAGUGUAAUUUAUAAUGUGAUAUUUACAUAUCACUCAUUGAUAUACUCCAAUUUUCUGUUCCGAGACGUCUGUACCUAGUGUAUAUGCUUGUUCCUGAGUCCUUGAUUACAUGAUCAAUUGAGACAUUUUAUUCUUGGUACCUUGUUACGAUGUUGUUGAUUGUAUAUAUCUUUGUAUUUAUUAUCUGAUUCUGUUUUUAUUACGAUCCUAUUAUUAUGGGAUUAUGUUUACCUAGCCUCUUGUAUAUAUAGACUUGUAAUUCUCUUAUGAAUAUACAGUGAAAUAUUCAGAUUUAAGUUGGUACCAGAGCACUCUGGUUCAACCCUUUAUUUUCUAUUUCUCAGUUUUUAUUUUUUUUAGGGUUUCAGCCGCCGGGAGCGCUGACCCAGUAACCCUCCUUUUUUUUUCC
RNAcentral lists this long non-coding RNA (545 nucleotides) under Trifolium pratense (red clover). Its description in RNAcentral is "long non-coding RNA (TPRA_LNC010938)". The record is from RNAcentral. Lineage: Eukaryota; Viridiplantae; Streptophyta; Magnoliopsida; Fabales; Fabaceae.